Molecule: ribosomal RNA, 403 nt
Filed under: Fusobacteriota bacterium
Lineage: Bacteria; Fusobacteriati; Fusobacteriota
Description: Fusobacteria bacterium partial 16S ribosomal RNA
Rfam family: Bacterial small subunit ribosomal RNA
Source: RNAcentral
UGGGGAAUAUUGCACAAUGGAGGGAACUCUGAUGCAGCGACGCCGCGUGAACGAAGAAGGCUUUCGAGUCGUAAAGUUCUUUUAUAUGGGAAGAUAAUGACGGUACCAUAAGAAAAAGCCCCGGCUAACUACGUGCCAGCAGCCGCGGUAAUACGUAGGGGGCUAGCGUUGUCCGGAAUCACUGGGCGUAAAGGGUUCGCAGGCGGAAAUGCAAGUCAGGUGUAAAAGGCAGUAGCUUAACUACUGUAAGCAUUUGAAAAUGCAUAUCUUGAGAAGAGUAGAGGUAAGUGGAAUUUUUAGUGUAGCGGUGAAAUGCGUAGAUAUUAAAAAGAAUACCGGUGGCGAAGGCGACUUACUGGGCUCAUUCUGACGCUGAGGAACGAAAGCGUGGGUAGCAAACAGG